RNAcentral lists this ribosomal RNA (253 nucleotides) under uncultured bacterium. RNAcentral's name for it is "partial 16S ribosomal RNA". It matches the Rfam family "Bacterial small subunit ribosomal RNA", at positions 524 to 776 of the family's 1533-position model. The record is from RNAcentral.
CACGUAGGGGGCGAGCGUUGUCCGGAUUUAUUGGGCGUAAAGAGCUCGUAGGCGGUUUGUCGCGUCUGCUGUGAAAUCCCGAGGCUCAACCUCGGGCCUGCAGUGGGUACGGGCAGACUGGAGUGCGGUAGGGGAGAAUGGAAUUCCUGGUGUAGCGGUGGAAUGCGCAGAUAUCAGGAGGAACACCGAUGGCGAAGGCAGUUCUCUGGGCCGUAACUGACGCUGAGGAGCGAAAGCGUGGGGAGCGAACAGG